UGGGGAAUUUUGGACAAUGGACGCAAGUCUGAUCCAGCCAUGCCGCGUGCGGGAAGAAGGCCUUCGGGUUGUAAACCGCCUUUGUCAGGGAAGAAACGAGUUUCUCUAAUACAGAGACUUAAUGACGGUACCUGAAGAAUAAGCACCGGCUAACUACGUGCCAGCAGCCGCGGUAAUACGUAGGGUGCAAGCGUUAAUCGGAAUUACUGGGCGUAAAGCGUGCGCAGGCGGUUAUGUAAGACAGAUGUGAAAUCCCCGGGCUCAACCUGGGACCCGCAUUUGUGACUGCAUAGCUAGAGUACGGCAGAGGGGGAUGGAAUUCCGCGUGUAGCAGUGAAAUGCGUAGAUAUGCGGAGGAACACCGAUGGCGAAGGCAAUCCCCUGGGCCUGUACUGACGCUCAUGCACGAAAGCGUGGGGAGCAAACA
Molecule: ribosomal RNA, 427 nt
Filed under: uncultured bacterium
Lineage: Bacteria
Description: bacterial SSU rRNA
Rfam family: Bacterial small subunit ribosomal RNA
Source: RNAcentral